AACGCAAAUUGCACUUUCUGGUAUUCCGGAAAGUAUGCCUGUUUGAGGGUCAGUUAAAUAAAAAUCGGUGUUGUUGCUGCCUUUCGUGGUGACGCGUCGGAAUUGGGUCGUCUUACCCUUGGUUAAGUGACUUAAAAUUUUGUAUGAUUUUCGAACGUAUUUAAAUUGCUUACGUACGUUUGAGAUAUCGAAUGUUUAUUAGGUUCGGUCAUCCUCAUGACCCGCGCCUAUAAUUUUUCAUUAAAUGACCUCAAAUCAGGUAAGAAUACCCGCUGAACUUAA
RNAcentral lists this unclassified non-coding RNA (282 nucleotides) under uncultured Glomeraceae. RNAcentral describes it as "sequence contains ITS2". The stretch from base 1 to 52 matches the Rfam family "5.8S ribosomal RNA", at positions 103 to 154 of the family's 154-position model. Lineage: Eukaryota; Fungi; Glomeromycota; Glomeromycetes; Glomerales; Glomeraceae. The record is from RNAcentral.